CUGGGAUUAGAUACCCCACUAUGCUUGGCAGUAAACCUUAAAUUACACCCCCAAUCGCCCGGGAACUAUGAGCAAAGCUUAAAACCCAAUGGACUUGACGGUACCCCAAAUCCACCUAGAGGAGCCUGUCCUUUAAUCGAUAACCCCCGCUUUACCUCACCACUUCUAGCUAAUCAGCCUGUAUACCUCCGUCGUCAGCUUACCUCGUGAGCGAAAUAUAGUGAGCUCAAUGCCAUUUCACCAAUACGUCAGGUCAAGGUGCAACUCAUGAAGUGGGAAGAGAUGGGCUACACUCCCUAAACUAAGGCACACGAAAAACUAUUUAUGAAAUCUAGUUUGAAGGCGGAUUUAGAAGUAAAAAGAAACCAAAGAGUUCUUUUUAACCCGGCACUGGGGUGUGUACACACCGCCCGUCACCCUC
This 421-nucleotide ribosomal RNA is filed under the name Adenomera hylaedactyla (Napo tropical bullfrog). RNAcentral's name for it is "partial 12S ribosomal RNA". It matches the Rfam family "Bacterial small subunit ribosomal RNA", at positions 772 to 1404 of the family's 1533-position model. The record is from RNAcentral. Lineage: Eukaryota; Metazoa; Chordata; Amphibia; Anura; Leptodactylidae.